GGGGAAUUAGCUCAGUUGGCUAGAGCAUCAGCAUCACACGCUGGGUGUCGCCGGUUCGAGUCCGGCAUUCCCCACCA
This 77-nucleotide transfer RNA is filed under the name Puniceicoccales bacterium. Its description in RNAcentral is "tRNA-Val". It matches the Rfam family "tRNA". From Rfam's summary of the family: Transfer RNA (tRNA) molecules are approximately 80 nucleotides in length. Their secondary structure includes four short double-helical elements and three loops (D, anti-codon, and T loops). Lineage: Bacteria; Pseudomonadati; Verrucomicrobiota; Opitutia; Puniceicoccales. The record is from RNAcentral.